RNAcentral lists this ribosomal RNA (258 nucleotides) under Herbaspirillum sp. ISOM376_OTU203. RNAcentral's name for it is "partial 16S ribosomal RNA". It matches the Rfam family "Bacterial small subunit ribosomal RNA", at positions 30 to 289 of the family's 1533-position model. Lineage: Bacteria; Pseudomonadati; Pseudomonadota; Betaproteobacteria; Burkholderiales; Oxalobacteraceae. The record is from RNAcentral.
UUGAACGCUGGCGGCAUGCCUUACACAUGCAAGUCGAACGGUAACAGGGAGCUUGCUCUGCUGACGAGUGGCGAACGGGUGAGUAAUAUAUCGGAACGUGCCCUAGAGUGGGGGAUAACUAGUCGAAAGAUUAGCUAAUACCGCAUACGAUCUAAGGAUGAAAGUGGGGGAUCGCAAGACCUCAUGCUCGUGGAGCGGCCGAUAUCUGAUUAGCUAGUUGGUGGGGUAAAAGCCUACCAAGGCGACGAUCAGUAGCUG